UACGUAGGCAGCGAGCGUUGUUCGGAGUUACUGGGCGUAAAGGGCGCGUAGGCGGCUCGGCACGUCCGUUGUGAAAUCGCCCGGCUCAACUGGGCGGGGUCAGCGGAUACGGUCGAGCUUGAGCAAGCUAGGGGGCAAUGGAAUUCCCGGUGUAGUGGUGGAAUGCGUAGAUAUCGGGAGGAACACCAGUGGCGAAGGCGGUUGCCUGGGGCUUUGCUGACGCUGAUGCGCGAAAGCGUGGGGAGCGAUCCGG
Molecule: ribosomal RNA, 253 nt
Filed under: uncultured bacterium
Lineage: Bacteria
Description: partial 16S ribosomal RNA
Rfam family: Bacterial small subunit ribosomal RNA
Source: RNAcentral